RNAcentral lists this small nuclear RNA (96 nucleotides) under Octodon degus (degu). Lineage: Eukaryota; Metazoa; Chordata; Mammalia; Rodentia; Octodontidae. The record is from RNAcentral.
ACACUCAGCAGCAUGUAGACUAAAAUUGGAAUAAUAUGAUUAGCAUGGCCUUUCUAGAAGGAUGACAUACAAAUUCAUGAAGUCUUCUAUAUUUUU